UUGACACGAGGCGGACUGAG
This 20-nucleotide microRNA is filed under the name Schistosoma japonicum. Its description in RNAcentral is "miRNA-3118". Lineage: Eukaryota; Metazoa; Platyhelminthes; Trematoda; Strigeidida; Schistosomatidae. The record is from RNAcentral.